UCACUUGGACGGCACCUAGAAUCCUAAAACGGAAACCACCCAGAGAAGACCAGCGUGGCUUCUGCACGAGGAGAACACACAGAUUUCUGAAGCAUUCCAUCUAUUU
RNAcentral lists this small nuclear RNA (106 nucleotides) under Otolemur garnettii (small-eared galago). Lineage: Eukaryota; Metazoa; Chordata; Mammalia; Primates; Galagidae. The record is from RNAcentral.